GGACCCGUACCCCAGCGGCUAGAGGGAACUGCUUUAGGUGCAGUCUGUCGUGAGUUCGAAUCUCACCGGGUCCA
This 74-nucleotide transfer RNA is filed under the name Streptomyces sp. SID11385. RNAcentral's name for it is "tRNA-Leu". It matches the Rfam family "tRNA". Rfam says of the family: Transfer RNA (tRNA) molecules are approximately 80 nucleotides in length. RNAcentral also lists the same sequence under 1 other name. Lineage: Bacteria; Bacillati; Actinomycetota; Actinomycetes; Kitasatosporales; Streptomycetaceae. The record is from RNAcentral.